RNAcentral lists this ribosomal RNA (251 nucleotides) under uncultured bacterium. Its description in RNAcentral is "partial 16S ribosomal RNA". It matches the Rfam family "Bacterial small subunit ribosomal RNA", at positions 57 to 305 of the family's 1533-position model. The record is from RNAcentral.
GCAAGUCGAGGGGUAACAGGGAAGCUUGCUUCCGCUGACGACCGGCGCACGGGUGCGUAACGCGUAUAGAACCUACCUUUUACUGAGGGAUAGCCUUUAGAAAUGAAGAUUAAUACCUCAUAGUAUUUUAGAUUGGCAUCAAUUUAGAAUUAAAGAUUUAUUGGUAAAAGAUGGCUAUGCGUGAUAUUAGCUAGUUGGUAAGGUAAUGGCUUACCAAGGCUACGAUAUCUAGGGGUCCUGAGAGGGAGAUC